Molecule: long non-coding RNA, 1528 nt
Organism: Carassius auratus (goldfish)
Lineage: Eukaryota; Metazoa; Chordata; Actinopteri; Cypriniformes; Cyprinidae
Exons: 3
Source: RefSeq, a predicted model, not a curated record
GUGUAAAAUGUUUUCAGUUUCUUAAACCCUACAUGUACUAAUUCUAUAUCCUAUCUUAAAUUUUUCCUAGAUAUGGCAAGUACUUCAACUGCCAGUCUUAACCAGCCCGUUACUGGCUACAUUCACAACAUCACACCUCUGCGUCAUGGGGUUAAACGACAGUACUUCGAAUGAGUCUUACAACAACGCCACGAAGUCUGUAAGCUUGUGGUGUUCAAGGUGGAGCUCCAUUCUAAGUUUCUGAAGAUUGAGAAAGACCGAUGCCUGGUCCAACUUAAUAAUGUGGUUGUCCAGCCGUCAAGGAGAGAAGAUGAAAUGGACAUACUGUUCACGCACCAAUCCAAAUGGUGUUGCUUGAGUUCCAUUGACUACCCUUACAACCCCACCAUAAUGGUCACCGUUCAAGACCAAACAAUUAGCCAGAUUCUGCAAAUGGAUAUGGAAUACCACAGAGUUAACGUCACCGUAAAGAUAAUCCAGAUGGAAAUCGAAAGACAUGCCUUUCUUCAGGAUGAUGUCUUGCUAGAGAACGGUCUACACCAUAGCGGACACCACAGGCAUCAUGGAGCUUACUGUCUGGGGCAUACAACAAAACCUUCAGCUGGACUCCUGGUUUUACAUAACCAAUGUUAUGGAUGUUCAGAGGUACAAAAUUCCAGUCCAUGACAAAAGACACAAAAUUUACACCCACCACAUGCACUGACACCACAUUUCCACUACAGCCCACCACAUCUGAACACGUAACUGGAAACAUCAUUGGCGCCAAAGUCAACAUCAUUUACAUUUGUCCACUUAAGCACAAGUUAAAUAACAUGGCACUUUCCUGCACGAGAGUCCUCUCUGACAAAUGCGAUAUAUUUUACAGAGCCGACACCAUUACACUACACACACACACACGCCAAGCUCAAAAUAACAACCACGACCUCUGAUGACAUCAAAUCCAUUAACCUAGAGAACCACGUUCUCCGAUCCACAAUCCAAGUUCCAAAAAACGCCACAACUGACACAACAAUGGACUCUCUUUUAGACCUCCCCACUAUGAAUAUGACAAUACACAACCAGUACAUCACCCACCUGGCAUAUCUGGAAAAAUCACAUACAGACACCCCACAACCCAGCAGUCCACUCAUGCACUUCUCAUCACCUACACAAUCUGCAGCUCCAAGUGAUGACCGAGCCGAACUUGACCCUUUUAUGGUGGAAUCUCCAAUAGACAGUCAGCCAGAAGUAAACCAGCCAACUUCCCAAUCUCCCACUUCUAUUGCAGAUACCCCAAAUAAGUAAUGUAUUGUUAGUUUUAAAUUGCAACUUUGUUUGUUUGUUUUUUUUGUGGAAAUGUGCUUUUGUUUAAAUUUCAAUCCUGUGAGCACUUGAAGUAGCUCUUAUUUUUAUCCUCCCUGAUUUAAAUUGACUCUGUAAAUAUUGAAGAUGCAAGAUGUUGUAUGCAUUUCCAGAUUUAAAUUUUUUUUUUCUGUCUUUGACUAUGGGGAUGUGUUAUUUCUGACUGUUAAUAAAGAACACUCACUUC